GCUGACUUCGGCAGCACACAUACUAAAACUGGAACGAAACAGAGAAGAUCAGCAUGGCCCCUGCAAAAGGAUGACACGCAAAUUCGUGAAGCUUUCCACAUUUUU
Small nuclear RNA from Hippopotamus amphibius kiboko, 105 nucleotides. NCBI's taxonomy places the organism in Eukaryota, Metazoa, Chordata, Mammalia, Artiodactyla, Hippopotamidae. The record is from RefSeq and is a predicted model, not a curated record.